CCUACGGGAGGCAGCAGUAGGGAAUCUUGCUCAAUGGGGGAAACCCUGAAGCAGCAACGCCGCGUGGAGGAUGAAGGUUUUCGGAUUGUAAACUCCUUUUGUUAGAGACGAUAAUGACGGUAUCUAACGAAUAAGCACCGGCUAACUCCGUGCCAGCAGCCGCGGUCAUACGGAGGGUGCAAGCGUUACUCGGAAUCACUGGGCGUAAAGAGCGCGUAGGCGGGUUAGCAAGUCAGAUGUGAAAUCCUAUGGCUUAACCAUAGAACUGCAUUUGAAACUGUUAUUCUAGAGUAUGGGAGAGGUAGGUGGAAUUCUUGGGGUAGGGGUAGAAUCCGUAGAGAUCAAGAGGAAUACUCAUUGCGAAGGCAGCGGACCGGCGCCAGACUGACGCUGAGGCACGAAAGCGUGGGGAUCGAACAGGAUUAGAUACCCUUGUAGUC
This 440-nucleotide ribosomal RNA is filed under the name uncultured bacterium. RNAcentral's name for it is "partial 16S ribosomal RNA". It matches the Rfam family "Bacterial small subunit ribosomal RNA", at positions 338 to 795 of the family's 1533-position model. The record is from RNAcentral.